CGUCUAGGUGGUUACGUAAGUCUGAUGUGAAAAUGCAGGGCUCAACUCUGUAUUGCGUUGGAAACUGUGUAACUAGAGUACUGGAGAGGUAAGCGGAACUACAAGUGUAGAGGUGAAAUUCGUAGAUAUUUGUAGGAAUGCCGAUGGGGAAGCCAGCUUACUGGACAGAUACUGACGCUAAAGCGCGAAAGCGUGGGUAGCAAACA
This 206-nucleotide ribosomal RNA is filed under the name uncultured bacterium. RNAcentral describes it as "partial 16S ribosomal RNA". It matches the Rfam family "Bacterial small subunit ribosomal RNA", at positions 568 to 774 of the family's 1533-position model. The record is from RNAcentral.